AGAGUUUGAUUCCUGGCUCAGAGCGAACGCUGGCGGCANNCUUAACACAUNCAANUCGAGCGGGCACCUUUCGGGGUGUCAGCGGCGGACGGGUGAGUAACGCGUGGGAACGUGCCCUCUGGUUCGGAAUAACUCAGGGAAACUUGAGCUAAUACCGGAUACGCCCUUUUGGGGAAAGGCUUGCUGCCGGAGGAUCGGCCCGCGUCUGAUUAGCUAGUUGGUGAGGUAACGGCUCACCAAGGCGACGAUCAGUAGCUGGUCUGAGAGGAUGAUCAGCCACACUGGGACUGAGACACGGCCCAGACUCCUACGGGAGGCAGCAGUGGGGAAUAUUGGACAAUGGGCGCAAGCCUGAUCCAGCCAUGCCGCGUGAGUGAUGAAGGCCUUAGGGUUGUAAAGCUCUUUUAUCCGGGACGAUAAUGACGGACCGGAGGAAUAAGCCCCGGCUAACUUCGUGCCAGCAGCCGCGGUAAUACGAAGGGGGCUAGCGUUGCUCGGAAUCACUGGGCGUAAAGGGCGCGUAGGCGGCGUUUUAAGUCGGGGGUGAAAGCCUGUGGCUCAACCACAGAAUGGCCUUCGAUACUGGGACGCUUGAGUAUGGUAGAGGUUGGUGGAACUGCGAGUGUAGAGGUGAAAUUCGUAGAUAUUCGCAAGAACACCGGUGGCGAAGGCGGCCAACUGGACCAUUACUGACGCUGAGGCGCGAAAGCGUGGGGAGCAAACAGGAUUAGAUACCCU
RNAcentral lists this ribosomal RNA (738 nucleotides) under Methylobacterium sp. iEII1. Its description in RNAcentral is "bacterial SSU rRNA". It matches the Rfam family "Bacterial small subunit ribosomal RNA", at positions 8 to 788 of the family's 1533-position model. The record is from RNAcentral. Lineage: Bacteria; Pseudomonadati; Pseudomonadota; Alphaproteobacteria; Hyphomicrobiales; Methylobacteriaceae.